Molecule: ribosomal RNA, 465 nt
Filed under: Vreelandella stevensii
Lineage: Bacteria; Pseudomonadati; Pseudomonadota; Gammaproteobacteria; Oceanospirillales; Halomonadaceae
Description: partial 16S ribosomal RNA
Rfam family: Bacterial small subunit ribosomal RNA
Source: RNAcentral
CCUACGGGUGGCUGCAGUGGGGAAUAUUGGACAAUGGGCGAAAGCCUGAUCCAGCCAUGCCGCGUGUGUGAAGAAGGCCUUCGGGUUGUAAAGCACUUUCAGUGGGGAAGAAAGCCUUGGGGCUAAUACCCUCGAGGAAGGACAUCACCCACAGAAGAAGCACCGGCUAACUCCGUGCCAGCAGCCGCGGUAAUACGGGGGGUGCGAGCGUUAAUCGGAAUUACUGGGCGUAAAGCGCGCGUAGGCGGUCUGAUAAGCCGGUUGUGAAAGCCCCGGGCUCAACCUGGGAACGGCAUCCGGAACUGUCAGGCUAGAGUGCAGGAGAGGAAGGUAGAAUUCCCGGUGUAGCGGUGAAAUGCGUAGAGAUCGGGAGGAAUACCAGUGGCGAAGGCGGCCUUCUGGACUGACACUGACGCUGAGGUGCGAAAGCGUGGGUAGCAAACAGGAUUAGAUACCCUAGUAGUC